Molecule: ribosomal RNA, 484 nt
Filed under: uncultured bacterium
Lineage: Bacteria
Description: partial 16S ribosomal RNA
Rfam family: Bacterial small subunit ribosomal RNA
Source: RNAcentral
AUUGAACGCUGGCGGCAUGCCUAAUACAUGCCAGUCGAGCGGAGGAAGGGAGCGUGCGCCUGGAUUCAGCGGCGGACGGGUGAGUAAUUCCUAGGAAGCUGCCUGGUAGUGGGGGAUGAGGUCCGGAAAGGGGAGGUAAUACCGCAUACGUCAUGAGGUAGAAAGUGGGGGAUCUUGGGAGAUCACGCUAUCUGAUUAGCCUAGGUCGGAUUAGGUAGUUGGUGGGGUAGAGGCCUACCAAGGGGACGAUCCGGAACUGGACUGAGAGGAGGAUCAGGCAAACGGGAAUGGAGACACGGUCCAGCCUCCUACGGGAGGAAGAAGUGGGGAAUAUUGGACAAUGGGCGAAAGCCUGAUCCAGACAUGCCGGGUGUGUGAAGAAGGUCUUCGGAUUGUAAAGCACUUUAAGUUGGGAGGAAGGGCAGUAAGUUAAUACCUUGAUGUUUUGACGGUACCAACAGAAUAAGCAACGGCUAACUUCGUG